GUCCCUGUAGCGCAAUACAUAGCGCGUUGGAUUUAUAAUCCAAAGGUCGUGGUUUCGAAUCCUACCUGGGAUG
Trichonephila clavipes is the source of this 73-nucleotide non-coding RNA. The record is from the annotation of a GenBank genome assembly. Lineage: Eukaryota; Metazoa; Arthropoda; Arachnida; Araneae; Nephilidae.